UGAACGCUGGCGGCGUGCCUCAUACAUGCAAGUCGAGCGAACGGACGAGAAGCUUGCUUCUCUGAUGUUAGCGGCGGACGGGUGAGUAACACGUGGAUAACCUACCUAUAAGACUGGGAUAACUUCGGGAAACCGGAGCUAAUACCGGAUAAUAUUUUGAACCGCAUGGUUCAAAAGUGAAAGACGGUCUUGCUGUCACUUAUAGAUGGAUCCGCGCUGCAUUAGCUAGUUGGUAAGGUAACGGCUUACCAAGGCAACGAUGCAUAGCCGACCUGAGAGGGUGAUCGGCCACACUGGAACUGAGACACGGUCCAGACUCCUACGGGAGGCAGCAGUAGGGAAUCUUCCGCAAUGGGCGAAAGCCUGACGGAGCAACGCCGCGUGAGUGAUGAAGGUCUUCGGAUCGUAAAACUCUGUUAUUAGGGAAGAACAUAUGUGUAAGUAACUGUGCACAUCUUGACGGUACCUAAUCAGAAAGCCACGGCUAACUACGUG
This 495-nucleotide ribosomal RNA is filed under the name uncultured bacterium. Its description in RNAcentral is "partial 16S ribosomal RNA". It matches the Rfam family "Bacterial small subunit ribosomal RNA", at positions 30 to 507 of the family's 1533-position model. The record is from RNAcentral.